CCCGUGCCCAGUGCCCUCCCAGUGCCUGUGUGCACAUGUCAGUCCCGCUGUGACUCCACCGCGCAGGCGCGGACUACAUCUCCCAUCAACCCCCGCGCCUCGCCCCGCCCCCAGCUUCCGGCCGCCGACAGUGACGUCACCCACUCGGAUUUUUCCCCGCGAAAACGGCGGCGGAGCGAUGCAGCGGCGGAUCACGUCUUUCUUCGCCCCCCCCAGGGCUGCAGAUGGCGCCGU
This 234-nucleotide long non-coding RNA is filed under the name Gallus gallus (chicken). RNAcentral describes it as "long non-coding RNA NONGGAT009490". The record is from RNAcentral. Lineage: Eukaryota; Metazoa; Chordata; Aves; Galliformes; Phasianidae.